GUGCUCACUUUGGCAGCACAUAUACUAAAAUUGGCACAGUGCAGAGAUUAGUAUGGUCCCUGCACAAGGAUGACACACAAUUUGUGAAAUGUUCCACAUUUUU
This is a small nuclear RNA of Leptonychotes weddellii (Weddell seal), 103 nucleotides long. Lineage: Eukaryota; Metazoa; Chordata; Mammalia; Carnivora; Phocidae. The record is from RefSeq and is a predicted model, not a curated record.